This 427-nucleotide ribosomal RNA is filed under the name uncultured bacterium. RNAcentral describes it as "bacterial SSU rRNA". It matches the Rfam family "Bacterial small subunit ribosomal RNA", at positions 351 to 782 of the family's 1533-position model. The record is from RNAcentral.
GCAGUGGGGAAUAUUGCACAAUGGGCGAAAGCCUGAUGCAGCAACGCCGCGUGAGGGAUGACGGCCUUCGGGUUGUAAACCUCUUUUAGUAGGGAAGAAGGGAGCUUCGGUUCUUGACGGUACCUGCAGAAAAAGCACCGGCUAACUACGUGCCAGCAGCCGCGGUAAUACGUAGGGUGCAAGCGUUGUCCGGAAUUAUUGGGCGUAAAGAGCUCGUAGGCGGUUUGUCGCGUCUGCUGUGAAAUCCCGAGGCUCAACCUCGGGCUUGCAGUGGGUACGGGCAGACUAGAGUGCGGUAGGGGAGAUUGGAAUUCCUGGUGUAGCGGUGGAAUGCGCAGAUAUCAGGAGGAACACCGAUGGCGAAGGCAGAUCUCUGGGCCGUAACUGACGCUGAGGAGCGAAAGCAUGGGGAGCGAACAGGAUUAGA